GACGAACGCUGGCGGCGUGCCUAACACAUGCAAGUCGAACGGAGUUUCCAGCAAUAGAUUCUUAGUGGCGAACGGGUGAGUAACGCGUAGACAACCUACCUUCUAGAUGGGGACAACACUGCGAAAGUGGUGCUAAUACCGAAUGUUGUGUAGAAAAUGCAUAUUUUCUAUCCUAAAGAUGGCCUCUAUUUAUAAGCUAUCGCUAGAAGAUGGGUCUGCGUCUGAUUAGCUAGUUGGUGAGGUAAUGGCUCACCAAGGCGACGAUCAGUAGCCGGUCUGAGAGGAUGAACGGCCACACUGGGACUGAGACACGGCCCAGACUCCUACGGGAGGCAGCAGUGGGGAAUCUUCCGCAAUGGACGAAAGUCUGACGGAGCAACGCCGCGUGAGUGAAGAAGGUUUUCGGAUCGUAAAACUCUGUUUUCAGGGACGAAUGUGCGUCGUGUAAAUAAUGCGAUGUAAUGACGGUACCUGAGUAGAAAGCCACGGCUAACUACGUGCCAGCAGCCGC
This 511-nucleotide ribosomal RNA is filed under the name uncultured bacterium. RNAcentral describes it as "bacterial SSU rRNA". It matches the Rfam family "Bacterial small subunit ribosomal RNA", at positions 28 to 518 of the family's 1533-position model. The record is from RNAcentral.